Non-coding RNA from Aphanomyces astaci, 72 nucleotides. The record is from the annotation of a RefSeq genome assembly. Lineage: Eukaryota; Oomycota; Saprolegniomycetes; Saprolegniales; Verrucalvaceae.
GGUGCUGUGGCGCAGUGGUUAGAGUCUUGGAUUGCGAAGCAUGAAGUCCGGGUUCAAGUUCCCGCUCGAUCG